AGCAAAAAAGAAAAAUUACUUUGAAAAUUGAAAUGUCUUAUUUUGGUAGGAAAACCUUUUAGUUUUAACAUGUAACCUACUAGAUGUGUGAAACAUUUUUCAUGUAUAGUUACAAGUUUGUAAAUUUUCAUCUCUUUCCCUGCUUCAUAACUAUUGUUUUAAUGUUAUUUGUAGUAAUAUGAUAUGGGAGAAUUGUCAUGUACAUGUAUAUAUGAAGUGCAAUAAAUCAAGGCUUUAUUAGUUUAACAGUAUUAAACAGACAUAUGUA
This is a long non-coding RNA of Heteronotia binoei (common prickly gecko), 268 nucleotides long. RefSeq lists it as uncharacterized. The transcript is spliced from 2 exons. The record is from RefSeq and is a predicted model, not a curated record. NCBI's taxonomy places the organism in Eukaryota, Metazoa, Chordata, Lepidosauria, Squamata, Gekkonidae.